CCUACGGGUGGCAGCAGUGAGGAAUAUUGCCCAAUGGAGGAAACUCUGAGGCAGCGACGCCGCGUGGGUGAAGAAGGCCUUCGGGUCGUAAAGCCCUUUUCUGUGUGACGAGCAAGGACGGUAGCACAGGAAAAAGUCUCGGCUAACUACGUGCCAGCAGCCGCGGUAAAACGUAGGAGGCGAGCGUUAUCCGGAGUUACUGGGCGUAAAGCGUGCGUAGGCGGGUCGGUAAGUGGGUCGUGAAAGCGCCGGGCUAAACCGGGCGAGGACGAACUAGACUGCCGGUCUAGAGGCGGAUAGAGGGGUGCGGAAUUCCGGGUGUAGCGGUGAAAUGUGUAGAGAUCCGGAGGAACACCAGUGGUGCAAACGGCGCCCUGGGUCCGAACUGACGCUGAGGCACGAAAGCGUGGGGAGCGAACGGGAUUAGAUACCCUAGUAGU
This 440-nucleotide ribosomal RNA is filed under the name uncultured bacterium. RNAcentral describes it as "bacterial SSU rRNA". It matches the Rfam family "Bacterial small subunit ribosomal RNA", at positions 338 to 794 of the family's 1533-position model. The record is from RNAcentral.